Molecule: ribosomal RNA, 441 nt
Filed under: uncultured bacterium
Lineage: Bacteria
Description: partial 16S ribosomal RNA
Rfam family: Bacterial small subunit ribosomal RNA
Source: RNAcentral
CCUACGGGAGGCAGCAGUGGGGAAUAUUGCACAAUGGGGGAAACCCUGAUGCAGCAACGCCGCGUGGGGGAAGACGGGUUUCGGAUUGUAAAGCUCUGUUAGUGGGGAAGAAGAAUGACGGUAGCCGAGCAAGAAGCCCCGGCUAACUACGUGCCAGCAGCCGCGGUAAUACGUAGGGGGCGAGCGUUAUCCGGAAUUACUGGGUGUAAAGGGAGUGUAGGCGGGAAGGUAAGCCAGCUGUGAAAGCUACGGGCUUAACCUGUGAACUGCAUUGGAAACUGGUUUGCUUGAGUGAAGGAGAGGUAAGCGGAAUUCCUGGUGUAGCGGUGAAAUGCGUAGAUAUUAGGAGGAACACCGGUGGCGAAGGCGGCCAACUGGACCAUAACUGACGUUGAGGCUCGAAAGUGUGGGGAGCAAACAGGAUUAGAUACCCCGGUAGUC